AUGACUGCUAUGCCUUGCAAUCAUGCAGUCUCUGCAAUUGUGAAAGCUAAGUUGCAACCUGAAGACUUUGUUGAUGAUUUCUUCAAGAAGGCAAUGUACAAAAAAGCAUAUGGCCAUAUCAUAUUUCCUGUCCUUGGUCCAAAUCUGUGGCCAAGGUCAAGAACUCAGGACAUAGAGCCUCCAGUUUUCAGAGACAAAGUUGGGAAGCAACAAACAAAGAGGAGGAAAAACCAAUUUGAGAAGCCAGCACCAAGAGAUACAUCUAGGAUGGCAUCCAUUACUUGUAGCAACUGCAAACUUGUAGGGCACAGAUACACUGUGUGCUCCAAGCCCUUGAAACCAGCUCUUGCUAUGAGACAAAACCAGCAUCAGCCAAACAGGUCACAUGCUUCUGCUUCAUCUACGGCUGCUGCACCAACAAGGAAGAGGCCAUCUCCAUGUACAGCAGAUGUUGGGACUGCUCCUCCCAGGAAGAAAGCUGCACCUGCUGCAACUACACCUACUGCUCCUCCAAGGAGGAGAGCUGCACCUGCUGCUAUUGCACCUACUGCUCCUCCCAGGAGGUCUCCCAGGAAGAAUGCUACCCCAGCACCUACUGCUCCUCCAGGGAGGUCUCCCAGGAAGAAAACUACCCCAGCCGGUACAUCUUCUACAUCUGCUGCAGGCCAUAGGGGAACAUUUCAUGCUCCAAGACAGACUGGAAGGAAGAGGACAGUUUCCUACAAGAUGAAAGAGUACCUAUAUGCUUAUGGUAACUAG
RNAcentral lists this ribosomal RNA (759 nucleotides) under Triticum aestivum (bread wheat). RNAcentral's name for it is "partial small subunit ribosomal RNA". The record is from RNAcentral. Lineage: Eukaryota; Viridiplantae; Streptophyta; Magnoliopsida; Poales; Poaceae.